Molecule: ribosomal RNA, 496 nt
Filed under: uncultured bacterium
Lineage: Bacteria
Description: partial 16S ribosomal RNA
Rfam family: Bacterial small subunit ribosomal RNA
Source: RNAcentral
AUGAACGCUGGCGGCGUGCCUAAUACAUGCAAGUCGAGCGAACAGACGAGGAGCUUGCUCCUCUGACGUUAGCGGCGGACGGGUGAGUAACACGUGGAUAACCUACCUAUAAGACUGGGAUAACUUCGGGAAACCGGAGCUAAUACCGGAUAAUAUAUUGAACCGCAUGGUUCAAUAGUGAAAGACGGUUUUGCUGUCACUUAUAGAUGGAUCCGCGCCGCAUUAGCUAGUUGGUAAGGUAACGGCUUACCAAGGCAACGAUGCGUAGCCGACCUGAGAGGGUGAUCGGCAACACUGGAACUGAGACACGGUCCAGACUCCUACGGGAGGCAGCAGUAGGGAAUCUUCCGCAAUGGGCGAAAGCCUGACGGAGCAACGCCGCGUGAGUGAUGAAGGUCUUCGGAUCGUAAAACCCUGUUAUUAGGGAAGAACAAAUGUGUAAGUAACUAUGCACGUCUUGACGGUACCUAAUCAGAAAGCCACGGCUAACUACGUG